AUGAACGCUGGCGGCGUGCCUAAUACAUGCAAGUCGAGCGAACGGACGAGAAGCUUGCUUCUCUGAUGUUAGCGGCGGACGGGUGAGUAACACGUGGAUAACCUACCUAUAAGACUGGGAUAACUUCGGGAAACCGGAGCUAAUACCGGAUAAUAUUUUGAACCGCAUGGUUCAAAAGUAAAAGACGGUCUUGCUGUCACUUAUAGAUGGAUCCGCGCUGCAUUAGCUAGUUGGUAAGGUAACGGCUUACCAAGGCAACGAUGCAUAGCCGACCUGAGAGGGUGAUCGGCCACACUGGAACUGAGACGCGGUCCAGACUCCUACGGGAGGCAGCAGUAGGGAAUCUUCCGCAAUGGGCGAACGCCUGACGGAGCAACGCCGCGUGGGUGAUGAAGGUCUUCGGAUCGUAAAACUCUGUUAUUAGGGAAGAACAUAUGUGUAAGUAACUGUGCACAUCUUGACGGUACCUAAUCAGAAAGCCACGGCUAACUACGUG
RNAcentral lists this ribosomal RNA (496 nucleotides) under uncultured bacterium. RNAcentral describes it as "partial 16S ribosomal RNA". It matches the Rfam family "Bacterial small subunit ribosomal RNA", at positions 29 to 507 of the family's 1533-position model. The record is from RNAcentral.